RNAcentral lists this ribosomal RNA (484 nucleotides) under uncultured bacterium. RNAcentral describes it as "partial 16S ribosomal RNA". It matches the Rfam family "Bacterial small subunit ribosomal RNA", at positions 30 to 507 of the family's 1533-position model. The record is from RNAcentral.
AUUGAACGCUGGCGGCAGGCCUAACACAUGCAAGUCGAGCGGAUGAAGGGAGCUUGCUCCUGGAUUCAGCGGCGGACGGGUGAGUAAUGCCUAGGAAUCUGCCUGGUAGUGGGGGAUAACGUCCGGAAACGGGCGCUAAUACCGCAUACGUCCUGAGGGAGAAAGUGGGGGAUCUUUGGACCUCACGCUAUCUGAUGAGCCUAGGUCGGAUUGGCUAGUUGGUGGGGUAAAGGCCUACCAAGGCGACGAUCCGUAACUGGUCUGAGAGGGUGAUCAGUCACACUGGAACUGAGACACGGUCCAGACUCCUACGGGAGGCAGCAGUGGGGAAUAUUGGACAAUGGGCGAAAGCCUGAUCCAGCCAUGCCGCGUGUGUGAAGAAGGUCUUCGGAUUGUAAAGCACUUUAAGUUGGGAGGAAGGGCAGUAAGUUAAUACCUUGCUGUUUUGACGUUACCAACAGAAUAAGCACCGGCUAACUUCGUG